RNAcentral lists this ribosomal RNA (441 nucleotides) under uncultured Acinetobacter sp. Its description in RNAcentral is "bacterial SSU rRNA". It matches the Rfam family "Bacterial small subunit ribosomal RNA", at positions 358 to 789 of the family's 1533-position model. The record is from RNAcentral. Lineage: Bacteria; Pseudomonadati; Pseudomonadota; Gammaproteobacteria; Moraxellales; Moraxellaceae.
GGAAUAUUGGACAAUGGGGGAAACCCUGAUCCAGCCAUGCCGCGUGUGUGAAGAAGGCCUUUUGGUUGUAAAGCACUUUAAGCGAGGAGGAGGCUACUUAGAUUAAUACUCUAGGAUAGUGGACGUUACUCGCAGAAUAAGCACCGGCUAACUCUGUGCCAGCAGCCGCGGUAAUACAGAGGGUGCGAGCGUUAAUCGGAUUUACUGGGCGUAAAGCGUGCGUAGGUGGUCUUUUAAGUCGGAUGUGAAAUCCCUGAGCUUAACUUAGGAAUUGCAUUCGAUACUGGGAGACUAGAGUAUGGGAGAGGAUGGUAGAAUUCCAGGUGUAGCGGUGAAAUGCGUAGAGAUCUGGAGGAAUACCGAUGGCGAAGGCAGCCAUCUGGCCUAAUACUGACACUGAGGCACGAAAGCAUGGGGAGCAAACAGGAUUAGAUACCCCUG